GGAAGCGUUCGUACGGACGACUGAAACCCUUUGUGAACUUAUACCUAUCUGUUGCCUCGGCGCAGGCCGGCCUCUUCACUGAGGCCCCCUGGAAACAGGGAGCAGCCCGCCGGCGGCCAACUAAACUCUUGUUUCUAUAGUGAAUCUCUGAGUAAAAAACAUAAAUGAAUCAAAACUUUCAACAACGGAUCUCUUGGUUCUGGCAUCGAUGAAGAACGCAGCGAAAUGCGAUAAGUAAUGUGAAUUGCAGAAUUCAGUGAAUCAUCGAAUCUUUGAACGCACAUUGCGCCCUCUGGUAUUCCGGAGGGCAUGCCUGUUCGAGCGUCAUUUCAACCCUCAAGCCUGGCUUGGUGAUGGGGCACUGCCUGUAAAAGGGCAGGCCCUGAAAUCUAGUGGCGAGCUCGCCAGGACCCCGAGCGUAGUAGUUAUAUCUCGCUUUGGAAGGCCCUGGCGGUGCCCUGCCGUUAAACCCCCAACUUCUGAAAAUUUGACCUCGGAUCAGGUAGGAAUACCCGCUGAACUUAAGCAUAUCAAUAAGCGGAGGA
RNAcentral lists this ribosomal RNA (545 nucleotides) under Diaporthe sp. B64-46. RNAcentral describes it as "eukaryotic LSU rRNA". The stretch from base 174 to 327 matches the Rfam family "5.8S ribosomal RNA". The record is from RNAcentral. Lineage: Eukaryota; Fungi; Ascomycota; Sordariomycetes; Diaporthales; Diaporthaceae.